AGAGAGGCAAUUCAUUUGUGUGCAUGGGAUCCAAGUUUUCCAACAUCACUUUCAACCGUCUUUUGAAACACUAUAACUUUUGCAAUGUUUGCCAUUUUGCCCUGCAACCUAGCGCAUUGCAUUUGCAUUGUUUGUAAAUGCCUACAACAACCAUACCGUCAGCCAGACCUGGUGUUGAUGUGAUGGGUGGAGACGGAAGGAAGGGCCAAGUGAAGGGAUCUGACACUGGACUGCAUAAAUGUCUGUUACAAUGUUCUUUAAUUGAAGUUGAAAUGAAGAAGCUGACGUAAAAGGAAGGAAAUGGUACAUUACUAUUGCCGAAGUGAAGCAGGUUGUACUAACUUUGCAAGGACAGGAAAUAAAAGCAAGGUUCAUUGGUGGAAGAAUAUAUGACCAAGAGUUUGCUCUUCUGGAAAUUAAUAAAUGGUUUCAUUAGUAUCAAAAAGUUAAGACUGAUUUGGAACUCAGAGAGCUGCAAGUCCUAUUUUAUUUAUUUGACAGAGAUCACAACUAGGCAGAGAGGCAGGCAGAGAGAGAGAGGAGAAGCAGGCUCCCUGCUGAGCAGAGAGCCCAGUGCAGGGCUCUAUUCCAGGACCCUGAGACCAUGACCUGAGCGGAAGGCAGAGGCUUUAACCCACUGAGCCACCCAGGCGCCCCUCUAUUAUGCUUCUUGAAGACACGAAGACGAAGCAACUGUUCUGACUGAAUUUAUUAUUCCAUUUAGGCUAAACAAUUGGUUUUAUUUUCAUCUAAGUGACAGUUGGCUACUUGCUUUUACAUCACAUUUCACACAAAGCAUUUUUCCUUUAUGGGGAUUUAGUACUCCCAGGUGUGUCUGGUCUUCACUCUGAAAAGGAUAGGAAAAAGCAAAAGAAACAAAAAGCCCCCAGCAGAUACAGGCCUUGGAACACGUUCUUUGCUGUUUGUGCAAUGAUGCCCUUCGAAUAGUUUGACUUUCAUGUGUAUCCUCCAGAGUUAGGUACUUUAAUCUCGUACUUAUUUGGAGCAUAGGUCUUGGAAAUUUCUUUUUCGUAAAGGAGGGGAAAAAAAAAAAACCUAGAAGAAGGCUAUACAUCCAUGGAAUUUGAGAAAGAAAUGAAAACAGCUUCAUUUAAGUUUAUAUCUGCCAAAAUUAACAAUCUAAAAUUCCUUUUGUAAGAACACUUUCUAGAGAUUAUGCUGAGUGAAAUAAGUCAAGCAGAGAGAGUCGAUUAUCAUAUGGUUUCACUUAUUUGUGGAGCAUAACAAAUAGCAUGGAUGACAAGGGGAGAUGGAGAGGAGAAGGGAGUUGAGGGAAAUUGGAAGGGGAGGUGAACCAUGAGAGACUAUGGACUCUGAAAAACAAUCUGAGG
Mustela lutreola (European mink) is the source of this 1352-nucleotide long non-coding RNA. RefSeq lists it as uncharacterized. The record is from RefSeq and is a predicted model, not a curated record. NCBI's taxonomy places the organism in Eukaryota, Metazoa, Chordata, Mammalia, Carnivora, Mustelidae. The transcript has 4 exons.